CACACAGUCUUAUUGCAUUGGCCAGGACUCCAGGAGACUUGAAGAACGGCCGUGGUUGCAGAUCUAGUGUCCAGCUUAGGACUUUUGUCUUUUGGGACUCACGGCUUCCCCUUUACUCCCUACAUGUAAUUCUGCACCUAGCCCUUCAGGGACAGAGCUGAGCACUGCUGCAGGUCCAGCCGAAUAUAAGACUCUUUCCCUGCCCAGGAUGAUUGUUCCAGAGUGGGGAAGAAAUCUGCAUAUGGCCCACCAAGUUUCCUUGCUGUUUUUUGUCU
RNAcentral lists this long non-coding RNA (275 nucleotides) under Canis lupus familiaris (dog). RNAcentral's name for it is "lncRNA (ENSCAFG00845018118.1)". The record is from RNAcentral. Lineage: Eukaryota; Metazoa; Chordata; Mammalia; Carnivora; Canidae.